GAUGAACGCUGGCGGCGUGCCUAAUACAUGCAAGUCGAGCGAACGGACGAGAAGCUUGCUCCUCUGAUGUUAGCGGCGGACGGGUGAGUAACACGUGGAUAACCUACCUAUAAGACUGGGAUAACUUCGGGAAACCGGAGCUAAUACCGGAUGAUAUUUUGAACCGCAUGGUUCAAUAGUGAAAGACGGUCUUGCUGUCACUUAUAGAUGGAUCCGCGCUGCAUUAGCUAGUUGGUAAGGUAACGGCUUACCAAGGCAACGAUGCAUAGCCGACCUGAGAGGGGGGUUGGGCCAACCGGAACUGGAGACCGGGCCAAGAUCCUUAGGGAGGCAGCAGUAGGGAAUCUUCCGCAAUGGGCGGAAGCCUGAAGGGGCAACGGCGCGUGAGUGGAGAAGGUCUUCGGAUCGUAAAACUCUGUUAUUAGGGAAGAACAUAUGUGUAAGUAACUGUGCACAGCUUGACGGUACCUAAUCAGAAAGCCACGGCUAACUACGGG
Molecule: ribosomal RNA, 497 nt
Filed under: uncultured bacterium
Lineage: Bacteria
Description: partial 16S ribosomal RNA
Rfam family: Bacterial small subunit ribosomal RNA
Source: RNAcentral